GUGCAGCAGGCGCGAAAACUUUACAAUGCUGGAAACAGCGAUAGGGGGACUUUGAGUGCCAGGAUACAAUUCUGGCUGUCGUGAUGCCUAAAAAGCAUUGCAUAGCAAGGGCCGGGCAAGACCGGUGCCAGCCGCCGCGGUAACACCGGCGGCUCGAGUGGUAACCGCUAUUAUUGGGUCUAAAGGGUCUGUAGCCGGCUGAAAAAGUCUCUUGGGAAAUUCGGUAGCUUAACUAUCGGGCUUUCAGGAGAUACUCUUCGGCUCGAGACCGGGAGAGGUGAGAGGUACUUCAUGGGUAGGG
This 301-nucleotide ribosomal RNA is filed under the name uncultured archaeon. RNAcentral describes it as "bacterial SSU rRNA". It matches the Rfam family "Archaeal small subunit ribosomal RNA", at positions 330 to 631 of the family's 1478-position model. The record is from RNAcentral.